Molecule: non-coding RNA, 24 nt
Filed under: Cricetulus griseus (Chinese hamster)
Lineage: Eukaryota; Metazoa; Chordata; Mammalia; Rodentia; Cricetidae
Source: RNAcentral
GAAAUGGACAAGGUAGAAGGGACU